RNAcentral lists this ribosomal RNA (459 nucleotides) under uncultured bacterium. Its description in RNAcentral is "partial 16S ribosomal RNA". It matches the Rfam family "Bacterial small subunit ribosomal RNA", at positions 338 to 795 of the family's 1533-position model. The record is from RNAcentral.
CCUACGGGUGGCAGCAGUGAGGAAUAUUGGUCAAUGGGCGCGAGCCUGAACCAGCCAAGUCGCGUGAGGGAAGACGGCCCUAUGGAUUGUAAACCUCUUUUGUCGGGGAGCAAAAGACGAUACGCGUGGCGUUCCGAGAGUACCCGAAGAAAAAGCAUCGGCUAACUCCGUGCCAGCAGCCGCGGUAAUACGGAGGAUGCGAGCGUUAUCCGGAUUUAUUGGGUUUAAAGGGUGCGCAGGCGGAAGAUCAAGUCAGCGGUAAAAUUGAGAGGCUCAACCUCUUCGAGCCGUUGAAACUGGUUUUCUUGAGUGAGUGAGAGGUAUGCGGAAUGUGUGGUGUAGCGGUGAAAUGCAUAGAUAUCACGCAGAACUCCGAUUGCGAAGGCAGCAUACCGGCGCUCAACUGACGCUCAGGCACGAAAGUGUGGGUAGCGAACAGGAUUAGAUACCCCAGUAGUC